Molecule: ribosomal RNA, 164 nt
Filed under: Elymus anthosachnoides
Lineage: Eukaryota; Viridiplantae; Streptophyta; Magnoliopsida; Poales; Poaceae
Description: 5.8S ribosomal RNA
Rfam family: 5.8S ribosomal RNA
About the family: 5.8S ribosomal RNA (5.8S rRNA) is a component of the large subunit of the eukaryotic ribosome.
Source: RNAcentral
CACACGACUCUCGGCAACGGAUAUCUCGGCUCUCGCAUCGAUGAAGAACGUAGCGAAAUGCGAUACCUGGUGUGAAUUGCAGAAUCCCGCGAACCAUCGAGUCUUUGUACGCAAGUUGCGCCCGAGGCCACUCGGCCGAGGGCACGCCUGCCUGGGCGUCACGC